CUUCAACAUUUAUCAUUUAUAGACCCGGAGCGAGGGGGAUUCGGCGAAAUAUUUCCCGAAGUGAUGAUAUUUCCCGAGGGCGAAGCCCGAGGGAAAUAUCAUCACUUCGGGAAAUAUUUCGCCGAAUCCCCCGAGCGGAGGGUCUAUAAAUGAUAUAUUAUACCGAAAAAGGUAUUCUAUACCGAAAAAGGUAUUUAUUUCCUCGUCAGACUCUGUCAUUUUUGCCUUUCAAGCAAACAACAUUGUUCCCGCCAUUUUUUAGCCUUGCGUGUGGUCUCGCGUGAUGUUCGCGAAUCAUAUUCACCGGUGAAUUUGACUCAUAUUCACCGGUGAAUAUGACUGAAAUUUCCUGCUGCACCAAAUACGAAUGACGUAAGCGCGAUACGAUGAUAAAUUUCACGAUCACAUGGCACAAAUCUAGCUUUCUCAUUGGACAAUUUUAAUUUGAGGUAUAAUAUUUCUCUAUAUUUACAAACUUUAUACAUAUUUACCGAUAACGCUAUUCUGGGGAUUAAAAUUUUCUAAAAAUUUUAGUCGCCCAAGCCAAUGUGGAAAGUGUGUAUCGCAUUGGGGAAAUAUCGGCCGUGUAAUUGUGAUGCUUUCUAUAUAUUUACUAUUCAAUUUUCUAA
This is a non-coding RNA of Paramuricea clavata, 629 nucleotides long. The record is from the annotation of a GenBank genome assembly. NCBI's taxonomy places the organism in Eukaryota, Metazoa, Cnidaria, Anthozoa, Malacalcyonacea, Plexauridae.